Molecule: transfer RNA, 97 nt
Filed under: Candidatus Bathyarchaeota archaeon
Lineage: Archaea; Thermoproteati; Candidatus Bathyarchaeota
Also listed under: 1 other name
Description: tRNA-Met
Rfam family: tRNA
About the family: Transfer RNA (tRNA) molecules are approximately 80 nucleotides in length.
Source: RNAcentral
GCCGGGGUAGCUCAGCCGUGGCCAGAAAACUUUAAAAGGUUAAAGCGUUGGACUCAUAAUCCAAAGGUCGCGGGUUCAAAUCCCGCCCCCGGCACCA